RNAcentral lists this ribosomal RNA (500 nucleotides) under uncultured bacterium. Its description in RNAcentral is "partial 16S ribosomal RNA". It matches the Rfam family "Bacterial small subunit ribosomal RNA", at positions 30 to 523 of the family's 1533-position model. The record is from RNAcentral.
AUUGAACGCUGGCGGCAGGCCUAACACAUGCAAGUCGAGCGGAUGAGGGGUGCUUGCACCCUGAUUCAGCGGCGGACGGGUGAGUAAUGCCUAGGAAUCUGCCCGAUAGUGGGGGACAACGUUUCGAAAGGAACGCUAAUACCGCAUACGUCCUACGGGAGAAAGUGGGGGCUCUUCGGACCUCACGCUAUCGGAUGAGCCUAGGUCGGAUUAGCUAGUUGGUGGGGUAAAGGCUCACCAAGGCGACGAUCCGUAACUGGUCUGAGAGGAUGAUCAGUCACACUGGAACUGAGACACGGUCCAGACUCCUACGGGAGGCAGCAGUGGGGAAUAUUGGACAAUGGGCGAAAGCCUGAUCCAGCCAUGCCGUGUGUGUGAAGAAGGUCUUCGGAUUGUAAAGCACUUUAAGUCGGGAGGAAGGGCUGCAGGUUAAUACCUUGCAGCCUUGACGUUACCGACAGAAUAAGCACCGGCUAACUUCGUGCCAGCCGCCGCAGUAA